UUAAUGAAUUGGCUACAAAGAAAGGAUGUACUCCAUCUCAACUUGCAUUGGCCUGGCUUCAUCACCAAGGAAACGACGUGUGUCCGAUACCUGGAACAACCAAAAUUGAGAACUUUAAUCAAAACAUUGGAGCUUUGUCGGUAAAAUUAACACCAGAAGAACUGGCAGAAAUUGAGUCCUUAGCAGAUAUUGUUAAAGGCGAUAGAUCUGGGAGUGAACCUACAUGGAAAGACUCUGAUACUCCACCACUUUCUUCUUGGAAAACUGCAUAAUGAAGUGGUUUGAUUGCUUAUUAAUCGUAUCAACAUAAUUUUAAAUUGUGGUUGCAAUUACGCUAUGAAAUUUUAUUCUAUGUUAAAAUACGGGCAAAUGUGGCUGCAUAUUCGGUUGCAGACUACUAUUUAGAAUCAUAAAUAUCAGUAUUCCAUAUGUAUUUGAUGUUACUACCUUAAAAAUUAAUAAAUUGGUCCGAGGAAAAGGAUUUUGGUUGUAUAAACAUCUAUAGUUUCUAGCAUAUGUGUGAUUUGAACUCUAAUGAAUAUGACUCUAUUAUAUUGAGUUUAAUAAAUUUUAUCCAUAAAUUGUAAUAGCUAAUAAAUUUUGCAUAGGUUUUAAUUUUUUAUAUGCGUAUCAUGUUUUCUAAUUUUAGACCAGAAAAUAUGUUGUAACCAAAAAAUGUCCAGAAAAUAUGUUUGUUUUUGUUGUUUAAAUUUGAGAUCUAAAAUGGAAAACAACAUAAAAACUAGUAAUUGAAAUUGUCUCAAGGCAACACAGCAUUCAUAAAUACAACCAUAUGACAUACAUAAACAAGAAAAUAUAAAAAUCAACACAUGGUCCAUGCAUGGGUCCAAAGAACCAAUGUGGUGUCACCUCAAAAGGUUCAAAGAAGUCAUGUUGAUAUACGUAAUAAUUGAAGGAUACAUUUUGAGUAAAUUAUACACGCUCUUUUUUUUGUCAAGUAGUUUAGUGGCUAGACUCACACAUUUAAAUGUAAAAAAAUGUAGAACCUGAGAUUCGAAUCCCGACCACCCCAAUACACACUCUUCUCUUCUAAAACAGUAACAUUAGCAUCCUAAUAGAUACACGCGUAGACGCGCGUGUACCAUGCCAAGAUCAAGUUCACCAAAAACAAUUAUAGACAGAAAAGUAAACUAGGUUGAAAAAAUGUGACAAUGGGGCCUGACCUUCCUUUCUAACAAUCAAGUGAUAAUGGUGAUGUUUUCUUUGCAGGCAUUGUUAGGUAGACGUUGAGGAUAAAUUUUUCUCUCGAGAAGCCCCGUGGGGGACGGGGACCUGUUGUAGUAGUUCCUCGGUUUUCAGAUAAUGGACGCUUUAACAGACAUUGAGUUGAAUUUGCCGUAUGGAAUUUAUGUAUGUGUCUC
Molecule: long non-coding RNA, 1382 nt
Filed under: Trifolium pratense (red clover)
Lineage: Eukaryota; Viridiplantae; Streptophyta; Magnoliopsida; Fabales; Fabaceae
Description: long non-coding RNA (TPRA_LNC001267)
Source: RNAcentral